Nicotiana attenuata is the source of this 1607-nucleotide RNA transcript. It is a transcript of the gene named probable cyclic nucleotide-gated ion channel 20, chloroplastic, with no coding region annotated. The transcript has 7 exons. Lineage: Eukaryota; Viridiplantae; Streptophyta; Magnoliopsida; Solanales; Solanaceae. The record is from RefSeq and is a predicted model, not a curated record.
ACGACCAAAGUAGGAAAGGGAAAAUUAGUUAAAUGAAUUCAACGCUCUCUUCUUAAGUCGUCCCUUUUCUUUUCUUUUUUAUUUUCCAUCUCUACGGCUCCUUUUCUUUCGUAAUUUAUACCAAUUAGCCAUCGCUCUUUCUCUGCUACUCUCUCCUCUGUUUCUCUGCUGAAAUUCCCAGUUCCAGCAGCAGAUUUUUCCCGUUGAACCCAUAAUUCAGCUGGAAUUAUAAGGUUGAGCAUCUGAGGGAUGGGAACUUCUGAAAUAGAUGAGAUGCCGAUGUUAUCACUAUCAUAUCCGCAGUCUAAUGAAAUUGAUGGCUUUCAAAAUCAACGUUUUGCGUACAGGGCAAGGAGUGCAUCCUUAUCAACGCCAAUGAGCUCUAUGGAUUCCUUUUGAAAUGAUAGUAGUUUUGUAGGCUAUACCGGUCCUUUGAGAAGUGAGGGGCGAAAUUCAUUGGUUCAUAUGAGCGGGCCACUAUAUAUUAGUCACAAGCCUGAGAAUAGCUCUCGGUCCACUCCCACUGCAGUAGUGCACAAACCAACUCUGCCAACAACAGAAAAAUAUCCUUCAAUUGGCAGUGGAGAACAAAAUGGUUGGACUAAUAAUGACUACACUGGAAAAAAUGAACAUCUAUUGAAGUCUGGUCAACUGGGUAUGUGCAGUGAUCCUUACUGCACAACAUGCCCAACCGAUAACCAUUUGAAAGCACUAAAAAAAAGUUCAAAGUCUUCAGAUAUGUUUGAUCACCGGGUAUUGCACUUUGCUCAAGUUAAAUUUCCAUAAUAUGCUGUAUGGAGAUACAAAAGGAUGGGCGAAGAGAACUUGUUCUUUCUUGUAUCCAUAUAUUCCUGGUGUCAUGAAUCCUCAUGCGAAGAUUGUCCAGAAGUGGAACAAAUUUUUUGUCAUCUCAUGCCUAUUUGCAUUAUUUAUAGAUCCCCUGUUCUUCUUUUUGCUUAAUGUCCAACAGGGGAACAAAUGCAUAGUGCUAAAUUGGCACAUGACAAAAAUUAUUGUGAUUUUGAGGAGCAUCACUGAUAUCAUUUACUUAAUGCACAUUCUUCUUCAGUUCCGUUAGCUUAUGUUGUUCCUGAAUCUAGGGUGGUGGGAGCAGGUGACCUGGUUGACCACCCUAAAAAGAUUGCUAUAAAUUAUCUUUCUGGAUACUUUGUUGUUGACUUUUUUGUCGUACUACCACUUCCUCAGAUCAUCAUUUUGUUGGUUUUACCCAAGUCUAUUGGAUCAUCUGGGGUAAAUUACACGAAGAAUCUAUUGUGGGCAGCUAUACUACUCCAGUACAAUUCUAGGUUGUACAGGAUUUAUUAUUUGGUUGCUGGCCAGUCUCCAAGUGGUUUUAUAUUUGAGUCAAUAUGGGCAACAUUUGUCAUAAAUCUUCUCAUAAUUGUUGUAUCAAGCAAUAUAGUGGGCUCAUUGUGGUAUCUUUUUGGUUUACAGAGGGUUAAUCUAUGCCUUCAAGGUGCUUGUCGCAGCUCAAACAUAGAAAGGUGUAUGGAGUUCAUAGACUGUGGUCAUGGCACCGAUUACACAAAGUUUCGGUCGGAUAUUACAUGGGACCAGUGGAAGAACAAUACUGAUGCAGUUGCUUG